Molecule: non-coding RNA, 910 nt
Organism: Vicugna pacos (alpaca)
Lineage: Eukaryota; Metazoa; Chordata; Mammalia; Artiodactyla; Camelidae
Source: RefSeq, a predicted model, not a curated record
UGUUCAUUCGCUCCGGCCCCCCUCCCCGCCUGCCCCCUUCGUCCUCCUCCCUGUCGCCCCUCGGCUCCCUCUACCCCCAGCCCUCCCCCGCGCCCAGCUGGCCGAGGCCGCCGUCUGGUCCCCGUAACUUGAUGCCCGUGACAGUUGGCAGCUGCAGCCGUUUCGGCAGAGAAAAGAGGCGGCCUAGCCAAGAGCGACAGGGACAGCUUCCCUAUCCGUCUACCCGGUGGGAGCACACCUGCCCUGCAGCAGCACUGCACCCUCACCCAGUCCUCUGCUUCUCUCCCGGGACCUGGAUUGUCAGGGUCUGGGUGCUGCGAUGUCCCAGGCCUGCAUUGCUCACCCAGGAAUGAACCUGGUCCUCUCCUUCAAUCACACCUUGUUUUCCUCAGUCUCCCCUACAAGCCAGAAAGCUCAGCUCUCCUCUUCCUCCCGUCCUCUGCCUGGUCCAAGACCCAAUUGCCCUUCCCACUCUACUAGUGGUGAGGCCUAUAGAGAGGGAGAGGGGCUUGAGUGGUGGAUCCCAAGAGAGCCAACAGCUGGCCACUGACUUUACUUUUCUUCACCAUUUAGAUGUCACCCCAGGGAAGGAGAUCUCCCUCCACCCCCAAGUUUCCACUAUUUGAGAAACUCAGAUAUGGAAAAAUAAACUCAGUGUUGUUUCUUGUACUCUCAUUCAUACCCAUCCAUUAUUGAUUGUAUUUGAAUAAGAUCCAACAAGUAAUUUAGGAUGAUCUCUGUGAAAGGCAGUUCACAUUAGAACAGGGCCCUGGGGGAGGCCUCUGGGAAAAGAUUAUUGCUCUUUUCCUGAUUGGAUGGGGAACUGAAUGUGGGAAGGGAGGAAGAAUAAUACAGGCAAAUAAUGUGAGCAAAAAAUGAAAGGCAACUAGGAACUCCAGGAAAAACAAAA